AUACUUACCUGGACGGGGUCAAUGAGCGAUCAAUGAGACCCAUGGCCUAGGCUUAUGACCUCCAUUGCACUUUGGAGGGGUACUUGCCUAAGGUCGGCCUAAGUGGUUGAGCCUACACCAUAAUUUGUUGCUAUGGAGGCCUGCGUUCGCGCAGCCCCUGC
Solanum lycopersicum (tomato) is the source of this 161-nucleotide non-coding RNA. The record is from Rfam. NCBI's taxonomy places the organism in Eukaryota, Viridiplantae, Streptophyta, Magnoliopsida, Solanales, Solanaceae.